GAUGAACGCUGGCGGCGUGCCUAAUACAUGCAAGUCGAGCGAACAGAUGAGGAGCUUGCUCCUCUGACGUUAGCGGCGGACGGGUGAGUAACACGUGGAUAACCUACCUAUAAGACUGGGAUAACUUCGGGAAACCGGCGCUAAUACCGGAUAAUAUAUUGAACCGCAUGGUUCAAUAGUGAAAGACGGUUUUGCUGUCACUUAUAGAUGGAUCCGCGCCGCAUUAGCUAGUUGGUAAGGUAACGGCUUACCAAGGCAACGAUGCGUAGCCGACCUGAGAGGGUGAUCGGCCACACUGGAACUGAGACACGGUCCAGACUCCUACGGGAGGCAGCAGUAGGGAAUCGUCCGCAAUGGGCGAAAGCUUGACGGAGCAACGCCGCGUGAGUGAUGAAGGUCUUCGGAUCGUAAAACUCUGUUAUUAGGGAAGAACAAAUGUGUAAGUAACUAUGCACGUCUUGACGGUACUUAAUCAGAAAGCCACGGCUAACUACGUG
This 497-nucleotide ribosomal RNA is filed under the name uncultured bacterium. RNAcentral's name for it is "partial 16S ribosomal RNA". It matches the Rfam family "Bacterial small subunit ribosomal RNA", at positions 28 to 507 of the family's 1533-position model. The record is from RNAcentral.